Molecule: long non-coding RNA, 276 nt
Organism: Alligator sinensis (Chinese alligator)
Lineage: Eukaryota; Metazoa; Chordata; Crocodylia; Alligatoridae
Exons: 3
Source: RefSeq, a predicted model, not a curated record
AGAGAAUGGGAGGAAGAGGAGGAGGAGGAGGAGGAGCGUCUUCUUUGGCAGAGGCUGAGGCUCAGUCAUCCCUAUUACAGAUCCCUUGGACCCCCCACUUUACGUUGCACCCCAGGCAGCUUCCCAAGGGAGGACCUGGUCUGGGACUGAGGCUCUGCUUGGACCUGGAGAGGAUGAGCUGUUUAGGCCUGUCAAGGGACAGGAAUCAAGUGGACCCCCAGUCUCAGGCUGGACAUUCGCUCUUUCCAAAACCUAAGUUACCUCCUCUUUAGUUUG